This 306-nucleotide ribosomal RNA is filed under the name Triticum aestivum (bread wheat). Its description in RNAcentral is "partial small subunit ribosomal RNA". The record is from RNAcentral. Lineage: Eukaryota; Viridiplantae; Streptophyta; Magnoliopsida; Poales; Poaceae.
AUGCAGACCCACGCUAUUCUUCCCCAACGUGGCCGCCAUUUUCGGUAUCUGAUGAGGGAGAGAGGGAGGAAGUUGGAGAACAGGCGACCAACGCUAAUGGAGUUCCCUAUGCAGCCAAUCAGAAGAUCCACGCUGAUUGAGGAGGUAGGAGAGAGUCUGCUGCCGGAAGGUUCACCGGCGGACGGUGGUGGAGGUGCUGUUUCUGGUCGACACGAGUGUAAGCGGCAAUGGGCGGAUAUGUGUGGCAUCUCUGCACCGGCGGCGAUGAGCGAAGAUGGGCGAAUCUGCAGUAUGGCAGCAGUGUGA